Heterocephalus glaber (naked mole-rat) is the source of this 184-nucleotide small nuclear RNA. Its record names the gene U2. It matches the Rfam family "U2 spliceosomal RNA". Rfam says of the family: U2 is a small nuclear RNA (snRNA) component of the spliceosome (involved in pre-mRNA splicing). Complementary binding between U2 snRNA (in an area lying towards the 5' end but 3' to hairpin I) and the branchpoint sequence (BPS) of the intron results the bulging out of an unpaired adenosine, on the BPS, which initiates a nucleophilic attack at the intronic 5' splice site, thus starting the first of two transesterification reactions that mediate splicing. Lineage: Eukaryota; Metazoa; Chordata; Mammalia; Rodentia; Bathyergidae. The record is from Ensembl.
AGUCUGUCUGGGCUUCCGCUAAGAUCAAGGGUCAGAUCUUAUCACUUUAACACCUGGCACAUCCUCCAUCCGAGGGCAAUGUAGUAAAUGGAUUUUUGCAGCUGGGUGAUGAAAUAGGAGCUUGUUCUGUCCACUCUACACAUGGACCUGGUAUUGCAGUAGCUCCAGGAACGGUGCACCCACU